RNAcentral lists this ribosomal RNA (623 nucleotides) under Arthrobacter agilis. RNAcentral's name for it is "bacterial SSU rRNA". It matches the Rfam family "Bacterial small subunit ribosomal RNA", at positions 121 to 747 of the family's 1533-position model. Lineage: Bacteria; Bacillati; Actinomycetota; Actinomycetes; Micrococcales; Micrococcaceae. The record is from RNAcentral.
GUAACCUGCCCUUGACUCUGGGAUAAGCCUGGGAAACCGGGUCUAAUACUGGAUACGACCUUCUGGCGCAUGCCAUGUUGGUGGAAAGCUUUUGUGGUUUUGGAUGGACUCGCGGCCUAUCAGCUUGUUGGUGGGGUAAUGGCCUACCAAGGCGACGACGGGUAGCCGGCCUGAGAGGGUGACCGGCCACACUGGGACUGAGACACGGCCCAGACUCCUACGGGAGGCAGCAGUGGGGAAUAUUGCACAAUGGGCGCAAGCCUGAUGCAGCGACGCCGCGUGAGGGAUGAAGGCCUUCGGGUUGUAAACCUCUUUCAGUAGGGAAGAAGCUGGCCUUUGGGUUGGUGACGGUACCUGCAGAAGAAGCGCCGGCUAACUACGUGCCAGCAGCCGCGGUAAUACGUAGGGCGCAAGCGUUAUCCGGAAUUAUUGGGCGUAAAGAGCUCGUAGGCGGUUUGUCGCGUCUGCCGUGAAAGUCCGGGGCUUAACUCCGGAUCUGCGGUGGGUACGGGCAGACUAGAGUGCAGUAGGGGAGACUGGAAUUCCUGGUGUAGCGGUGAAAUGCGCAGAUAUCAGGAGGAACACCGAUGGCGAAGGCAGGUCUCUGGGCUGUAACUGACGCU